UCUCUGCAUUGAGCAGAUUUACAAAAGAAUCUCUGCGUGAAAGUAAUCAAUAAUACUUACAAUAGGAUUGGCCAAAUGUGCCACUGUAGAUUGCAUAUUUGGGUUUUCCCUACUCCUGUUCACCGUUCCAAAUUUCCUUCCGUGCCGAUUCCCUUUUUCUCGUUUGUCUACUCCUGUUCACCGUUCCAAAUUCCCUUCCAUGCCGAUUCCCUUUUUCUCUUUUGUUCUGCUGCGUGGGGGUUUCGUGUAGUGGGAAGCUUUGUUUCUUGCAUUGUUACUUUCCCAAAAUUUAUCAUUCCUUUUCCUGUUUUGUUUUGAUACAUUUAAUGCCUUUUCGAUUUCCUUUUUGAUCUCCUUUUCAAUUUCCUUUGUCUUCUUUCGCGUUCAAUUUGCUACAUGGAUGGGUUUGGGUAAGCUUUUCGCCCACUUGCUUGUUUUACGUUCGUCUGGAUUCAGCGGAAAGGUAUUUGUCGGAAUACUUUCCAUUUUGUGUCGGAUGCAGGCGGAAAGGGAUUUGGCAGAAGGUUUGCUUUUGUGCUUGAUUUGUCUCGUUUCCAAUUUGUUUUGCCCAUAUGUAACGGUUUUGAUUUCUUUCUCCUUCAUUCCGUCUCGCUCUCUCUUUUGUGGUGGUUGUUCUUUUUCGUUUUUGUAUUCUCUCAAAUGGCUGGUAGGUUUGAUUUCUUCAUUAAUCUAAAUCCCAAUUGAAUAUUGAUUGUUUUUCCCCUGUUUCAUUCUACAGGUUCUUGCCAGAUUUGUUUCAUUGGUUUGUUAUGACCUGAUUUGUUCUUCAUAUUUAUUUUAUUUCUAAUUUUUACAGUUUUAUUGUGUGUUCAUUACUCUCAUAUUUCUUCAUGUUUGCCCUGUUUUUGCAGAGGAGUUUAUGUCCGACCUAUUUGUGCAUACAAGGUGAGUUUUGCUUAACAACCAUUCUCUUUUAAGGUUGCUGUUUUGAUUGUUUUUAUCAUGUGAUCAAAGCAUUCUUACCAUACUUUAGAAUUUGUCAACCCUGUUUUCUUAAUUUUUACAGAUUAACUUUCGUUUCAGACUGCAGUUAACAGUAUGUUUCUUAAUCAUGUUUUCAUUUUGUUCAUAGUAUUCAUAUUUGUGGAAUAUUUAUUUACUUUCAUACAUCUUUUGCAUGACUUGUUUGUGCAGUUGAUUCAAAUUUGUUCUUUCUGUAGCCUUUCUAUUUUGUGUUGGUUGGUUUGUGUUUCUUUUUUUAUUUUUUCCAGUGACGAUCGAGUUGUGCUUUUGCCUCCGAUGAACGGUUGUGGCAGCGACGAGUCUCUUCCUUCCGGCGACAGCCGAUUGUGUAUAUUUAUUUGUCACCAUGUUGACUGAACGGGCUAAAAGUAAGGAAAACUCAGUUGUGUGUUCCCCUUCCAGGGAAGCUUACAAGAAUUUACUUGCAAAAUCCUUAAAUAUGAAGAUUGAUGCAAGUUCUUGUCCUGGCUCUUAAGAAAAUAAAACUACCACUGCCAGAAUGAACAACUUUAAAGAAUAUUGCACACACUAAUCAACUGAGGAGUCGAGAAGGAGAUGUCGAACGGACUCUAAAGACGGUCGAAACAGGAGUAGGUGGCAGGCAACCACACUGCUAAAGUGAGAAUUCUAAUCUAUAUCUCAAGUUUGUGGAGUAAAUGCUGUUUGGUUCUCAAUGUAGGCAUAUUCAGAAAUAUUUUUGCCUUUUCAUUGAUCAAAGUAUGCUUUUUAUUCCGGAAUUAGAAGUCUGGACUAAACCCAAUAGUGAAAAAUAUCACCCAAUGUAUAGAUCUUCUCUAAACUAUUUUAAAGAAAAUUAGCUCUUCCCAUUUUCUUUGGUAACUAGAGUGGCCUUUUUGGUUAAAGAUAAACAGCUUCUACACAGUAUAUGAUGGUGCAUGCAUCUUUUUUUCCGAAUAUGACAUUGUAUACUAUUGUACUGUUGCACUUUCUAUAUGAUGCAUUAGCAAUUAUCUAAAUCUUGCAAGCCUUAAAAAGAUAGGCAAUCGUUCCUUCAUUAUUUUGCAGAAGUACCACUUGAAUCAUCACUACCGGGUCCAGAUCCUUGGCUUUGGCAUCACGUCACCAUUCUGGGAUAAGGUUUUUGGAACGGUUCCCCCUCCAUCAAAGGUGGAUGCCAAGCGUAGAAGUAACGGUUGAGCCUGCAUUUGUUCAUUGGUUAAUUAUAGCAGAUUGAGGAGUUUAGACAAAAAAAAGUUGAUGGCAAUUAGGAAGAAGGCAGAAGGAACAUUGACUACACAGUUGAUGGCAAUUAGCAAGAAGGCAGCCGCUACUGCUAAUUGUUGAGCUUAAACAAGCAGCAUACCUAUGUGAUGGGAAUUCGUUGAUAGUAUGAAAGGAAACACAAAAUUGUAUGUUUGAAUUGGUGACGAGUUUGGAUAAAUUACAGUGACACUGCGGUUUCAUUUAAACUUUAAUGUGUAGUUUUUGCUAAAAUCAGAAUGAGUUACCGGUGAUUCUUCCAAACUUCGCUUCAAUACAAACAUACACACAGUGACAACAUUGACUACCGGUGUAGUUUUUGUAUGAUAUUUAACAUCUUUUCCAUUCAAUGUGAAACUCUUACUUAGA
Molecule: RNA transcript, 2574 nt
Organism: Trifolium pratense (red clover)
Lineage: Eukaryota; Viridiplantae; Streptophyta; Magnoliopsida; Fabales; Fabaceae
Exons: 4
Source: RefSeq, a predicted model, not a curated record